RNAcentral lists this ribosomal RNA (322 nucleotides) under uncultured eukaryote. Its description in RNAcentral is "partial 18S ribosomal RNA". It matches the Rfam family "Eukaryotic small subunit ribosomal RNA", at positions 1470 to 1796 of the family's 1831-position model. The record is from RNAcentral.
CCCUUAGAUGUUCUGGGCUGCACGCGCGCUACACUGAUGCGUUCAACGAGUUUAUGACCUUGCCCGAUAGGGUUGGGUAAUCUUUUUAAAUCGCAUCGUGAUGGGGAUAGAUUAUUGCAAUUAUUAAUCUUCAACGAGGAAUUCCUAGUAAACGCAAGUCAUCAGCUUGCAUUGAUUACGUCCCUGCCCUUUGUACACACCGCCCGUCGCACCUACCGAUUGAAUGGUCCGGUGAAAUCUCGGGACGGCGGCUCGGUCGCUUGCGUCCGACUGCUGAAACUUGAUUAAACCAUAUCAUUUAGAGGAAGGUGAAGUCGUAACA